Setaria italica (foxtail millet) is the source of this 890-nucleotide long non-coding RNA. RefSeq lists it as uncharacterized. Lineage: Eukaryota; Viridiplantae; Streptophyta; Magnoliopsida; Poales; Poaceae. The record is from RefSeq and is a predicted model, not a curated record. The transcript has 2 exons.
AAAUCCCUUCCGGAGGUUGUUUACUCCAGUGGGCAUUUCAGCUGCCGUAGGAUUUCCAAUCAACGGAGAGAGAAUUGAGGAGAGAUUAGUGGAAAGAUGACAGAUUAGGGAAUAGAUUAUUCUCUCCUCAUUUAAUUUUCCCCAACGCCUCCUGCCGCAGUCCGACCCUUCCCCUUCCCCGACCCCGAUGCGCUCUCUCCCCUCCCUCGUUCAUCCUCUCACUCUCUCUCUCCUUCCUCUCACUCCAGCACGAGGAAGCGGAGGGGCGAGGUGAGUGGCCGGCGACGUCGGCGUGCUCCCUGCUACGCGUGAGGCCGACCAUCUCCUUCUCUAUCUCUCUUCCCACGGUGCGCCGCCGGACCUGCCCAUGGAAGAGGACCCCGGCUUCCCCAAGACCCCAACCUUGUCGGUGUGUUUCCGUCCUUGAUCUGCCAGUUCCAUUCGCGGGGAGGCCUGGGAGUGCAGGUGCAUGAGCUCGUCACCGGAGCCGAAGCAUCCAUGGAGCCGCCCUUCCCCGACGUUGCUCGCUGGCGGGUAACCAAUAAGCAAUGGUGAUGGCGAGCGGAGGACCACGAAUUCGUGAAAAGGUCCAUGGCGGCACCAGGAUCGCCACUGUCCCAUGCUUCCCGCCGGCCGCGGCGGCGGCGGAGGAAGCUCAAGGCUGUCAACGAAAUCUUGUUGCGUUUCUUGAACAUCACUGAGAACUUUUUGGUGAUUUUUUGCAGUGACUUGCAAUUUUUCUUGGUGUGCGCAUGAACAUUCUUGAAUCUUGUUGCUUUUCUUGAACAUCACCAAGAACUUUUUGGUGAUUUGUUGCAGUGUGAUGCAAUUUUUCGGUGUAUGGAUGAACAUGCUUGAUGAUGGAUGGUAUUUCUUUAAACUAGUUCAUA